GCUUCUCUACGGAAGUCUGUGAAGAUGAUAGUAGAGUGUUUGUUUUGUUUGUGUGUGAUGCAUUCUUGUCUGGUGUGAUAGGAAUGCAUCUUUUUUUAU
Bacteroides sp. CAG:754 is the source of this 99-nucleotide small RNA. It matches the Rfam family "Bacteroides sRNA BTnc201". From Rfam's summary of the family: An uncharacterized small RNA discovered in Bacteroides thetaiotaomicron The record is from Rfam. NCBI's taxonomy places the organism in Bacteria, Pseudomonadati, Bacteroidota, Bacteroidia, Bacteroidales, Bacteroidaceae.